Long non-coding RNA from Solanum dulcamara, 1813 nucleotides. RefSeq lists it as uncharacterized. The record is from RefSeq and is a predicted model, not a curated record. Lineage: Eukaryota; Viridiplantae; Streptophyta; Magnoliopsida; Solanales; Solanaceae. The transcript is spliced from 2 exons.
UUUUGAUAAUUGGCCUUUCAUUGACAAAAACAGGUUUGAGCGAAGCGAAAGGACAGUUCGUUUUACUGUCUCCUUCUGUGGCCACUCAAUUGGGAUUUUACCUGAGGUUCAGCUGUUGUAGCUAUUUCAGUAUUUUCUUCUGCUUCCCAUUCAUUUUUUGAAGCAGGGCUGGAAUCUGAGUGACAACCAAAUUGGAAGAUUCAGUUACUACGAAAGAAAUCAUGCGAUUAGUCGUGAAGAUAUUACUCACCUUGGAUUUGUCGCGUCAAUCCAUCCAUCAUCAAGGCAAAUAAAAAUGGACUAAGAGCUGAUCCUUGAUGCAACCCCAUCACAACUAGAAAGUGCUCUGAGUCUCCUCCUACUGUCCUUACCCUGUUUUUGGCACCCUCAUACAUGUUCUUGAUCACCCUAAUGUACGCCACAAAUACACCUUUAGCCUCUAAACAUUUUCAUAGUAUCUCUCGUAGAACUUUAUCGUAAGCCUUUUCUAGGUCGAUGAAUACCAUAUGCAAAUCCUUCUUCCUCUCCCAAAGAAGGAGAUAUCACAAGAAGAAAACCCCCAAGUUACUUCUCAAAAAACCAAAAAACAAAUACCACAUAACCUCAACAAAAUAUUCGAAAAACCCUAUAGAAACCCAUGGAUUGAAAAACAACCAUUGUGUGUACCACCUCAAGUUACCAGUUAUGCGGAAAGCCUACAUACCCAAAAAUAGACCUACAACCAUGUAACCAGAUCAUAUAUUGAGAACCUUUACAAAAUCUCUAGUUACUUAAACAAAAACCCAGUACAAGAUGAAGAAUUAUUCCAGCAACAUAAAGAAUAUAUAACCCAAAUGAAUAAAGGAUACAAUAAGUUUAUUGCUUUACCAGAUACAAAACCUCAGUUAAUUAGAAUUUAUUUUGGUUAUGGACUACUUAGUGUAAUCUAUACCCAAUCAGGAAAAGAGAGAGUUAUUCCCAAAAUUAUACCAAAAAUUCCUCGAUUACAAAAGGAUUACUAAAGCCAAGUUAUUUUAUUUAAAAUGUUACUCAGCAAUGGUAGAAAUUAUGUUUGACAAAAUUAACCCAGUUAUUACAGUCAUCAAUAUUGGCGUUACAAGGAAUAUGACCAUUCCGUCCAAGAUAUCAGAACAACCAGAGAUAACAAAACCAGAAAUUUCAGAAUUCUUCUCUCACAAAAGAGUUAUUGGACUAGGAACUACAAUCCAGGAGUUAGCAGGUGUAUUUGUCAACAACAAUCAUGUGUGGAAAUACUAUGACAGAGACCAAACAUUAAUUUACAGCAAUUAACGCGAAGGUAAGAUCCAAGAUAUGGAAGAUGUACGAAGAUGGGCAAUGACAUUACUUAACCUAGAAGUUAUGCCAGUCACUAGAGCAAUCAAGAAAGAGUUAUAUCACCAGAGCUAUUAUCAAUGUUUUGCAAGAUAGUUGGACAAAAAUACCCUGACCACAGUUGCAGUAGAUGCGGUGGAGAAAAUAAUGUAAUACCAGAAGCUACAAUAAUUGAAGACAUGAUGAAGACAAGUACAAGUGGAAAACAAGAAAAAGAAGAAAGGACGAUGUGACCCCACAAUGAAGACGUCCACUAACCCAGAAGAUAAGAAGGAAUCUUAAGAGAUAAGGUUUAGAGAUAAGGACUCAACGAAGUCCAUACACGUGUAAAUAAUAAUGUAAAUAGUGAUUAAGACAACAUCCUUACUCUGUGUAUAUAAUGAGAAGGAUUUUAGUUUAGAAAGGCAUCGAAGCCUAUAAAAUCUAUCUAGUUACAUUGUAAACAAAAUUUAUCUAAUAAAAGUUAUCAAAAUUUCAAGCA